RNAcentral lists this ribosomal RNA (301 nucleotides) under uncultured bacterium. RNAcentral describes it as "partial 16S ribosomal RNA". It matches the Rfam family "Bacterial small subunit ribosomal RNA", at positions 510 to 808 of the family's 1533-position model. The record is from RNAcentral.
AGUAGCCGCGGUAAUACGUAGGGUGCGAGCGUUAAUCGGAAUUACUGGGCGUAAAGCGUGCGCAGGCGGUUGUGUAAGACAGGUGUGAAAUCCCCGGGCUUAACCUGGGAACUGCGCUUGUGACUGCACAGCUAGAGUAUGGCAGAGGGGGGUGGAAUUCCACGUGUAGCAGUGAAAUGCGUAGAGAUGUGGAGGAACACCGAUGGCGAAGGCAGCCCCCUGGGCCAAUACUGACGCUCAUGCACGAAAGCGUGGGGAGCAAACAGGAUUAGAUACCCGAGUAGUCCCUGUCUCUUAUACA